This 413-nucleotide ribosomal RNA is filed under the name Ureibacillus thermosphaericus. RNAcentral describes it as "bacterial SSU rRNA". It matches the Rfam family "Bacterial small subunit ribosomal RNA", at positions 505 to 916 of the family's 1533-position model. Lineage: Bacteria; Bacillati; Bacillota; Bacilli; Caryophanales; Caryophanaceae. The record is from RNAcentral.
GUGCCAGCAGCCGCGGUAAUACGUAGGUGGCAAGCGUUGUCCGGAAUUAUUGGGCGUAAAGCGCGCGCAGGCGGUCUCUUAAGUCUGAUGUGAAAGCCCCCGGCUCAACCGGGGAGGGUCAUUGGAAACUGGGAGACUUGAGUGCAGGAGAGGGAAGCGGAAUUCCAUGUGUAGCGGUGAAAUGCGUAGAGAUAUGGAGGAACACCAGUGGCGAAGGCGGCUUCCUGGCCUGUAACUGACGCUGAGGCGCGAAAGCGUGGGGAGCAAACAGGAUUAGAUACCCUGGUAGUCCACGCCGUAAACGAUGAGUGCUAGGUGUUAGGGGGUUUCCGCCCCUUAGUGCUGCASSUAACGCAUUAAGCACUCCGCCUGGGGAGUACGGUCGCAAGCAUGAAACUCAAAGGAAUUGACGG